GAUGAACGCUGACGGCGUGCCUAAUACAUGCAAGUCGAGCGAACGGACGAGAAGCUUGCUUCUCUGAUGUUAGCGGCGGACGGGUGAGUAACACGUGGAUAACCUACCUAUAAGACUGGGAUAACUUCGGGAAACCGGAGCUAAUACCGGAUAAUAUUUUGAACCGCAUGGUUCAAAAGUGAAAGACGGUCUUGCUGUCACUUAUAGAUGGAUCCGCGCUGCAUUAGCUAGUUGGUAAGGUAACGGCUUACCAAGGCAACGAUGCAUAGCCGACCUGAGAGGGUGAUCGGCCACACUGGAACUGAGACACGGUCCAGACUCCUACGGGAGGCAGCAGUAGGGAAUCUUCCGCAAUGGGCGAAAGCCUGACGGAGCAACGCCGCGUGAGUGAUGAAGGUCUUCGGAUCGUAAAACUCUGUUAUUAGGGAAGAACAUAUGUGUAAGUAACUGUGCACAUCUUGACGGUACCUAAUCAGAAAGCCACGGCUAACUACG
RNAcentral lists this ribosomal RNA (495 nucleotides) under uncultured bacterium. RNAcentral describes it as "partial 16S ribosomal RNA". It matches the Rfam family "Bacterial small subunit ribosomal RNA", at positions 28 to 505 of the family's 1533-position model. The record is from RNAcentral.